GACGAACGCUGGCGGCGUGCUUAACACAUGCAAGUCGAACGAAGAGCGAUGGAAGCUUGCUUCUAUCAAUCUUAGUGGCGAACGGGUGAGUAACGCGUAAUCAACCUGCCCUUCAGAGGGGGACAACAGUGGGAAACGACUGCUAAUACCGCAUACGAUCUAAUCUCGGCAUCGAGGAUAGAUGAAAGGUGGCCUCUACAUGUAAGCUAUCACUGAAGGAGGGGAGUGCGUCUGAUUAGCUAGUUGGAGGGGGAACGGCCCACCAAGGCGAUGAUCAGUAGCCGGUCUGAGAGGAUGGACUGCCACAUUGGGACUGGGACACGGCCCAGACUCCUACGGGAGGCAGCAGUGGGGAAUCUUCCGCAAUGGGCGAAAGUCUGACGGAGCAACGCCGCGUGAGGGAUGACGGCCUUCGGGUUGUAAAGCUCUGUUAAUCGGGACGAAAGGCCUUCUUGCGAAUAGUGAGAAGGAUUGACGGUACCGGAAUAGAAAGCCACGGCUAACUACGUG
RNAcentral lists this ribosomal RNA (510 nucleotides) under uncultured bacterium. Its description in RNAcentral is "partial 16S ribosomal RNA". It matches the Rfam family "Bacterial small subunit ribosomal RNA", at positions 28 to 507 of the family's 1533-position model. The record is from RNAcentral.